This 365-nucleotide ribosomal RNA is filed under the name uncultured bacterium. RNAcentral describes it as "bacterial SSU rRNA". It matches the Rfam family "Bacterial small subunit ribosomal RNA", at positions 335 to 691 of the family's 1533-position model. The record is from RNAcentral.
ACUCCUACGGGAGGCAGCAGUGGGGAAUAUUGCACAAUGGGCGCAAGCCUGAUGCAGCCAUGCCGCGUGUGUGAAGAAGGCCUUCGGGUUGUAAAGCACUUUCAGUCGUGAGGAAGGUAGUGUAGUUAAUAGCUGCAUUAUUUGACGUUAGCGACAGAAGAAGCACCGGCUAACUCCGUGCCAGCAGCCGCGGUAAUACGGAGGGUGCGAGCGUUAAUCGGAAUUACUGGGCGUAAAGCGCAUGCAGGUGGUUUGUUAAGUCAGAUGUGAAAGCCCGGGGGCUCAACCUCGGAAUAGCAUUUGAAACUGGCAGACUAGAGUACUGUAGAGGGGGGUAGAAUUUCAGGUGUAGCGGUGAAAUGCGU